GGACGGGUGAGUAACGCGUGGGUAACCUACCCCAAAGUCCGGGAUAACAGCGGGAAACCGCUGCUAAUACCGGAUGUCUUUACCUUGGGGCAUCUUGAGGUAAAGAAAGGUAACGCUUUGGGAUGGGCCCGCGUCCCAUUAGCUAGUUGGUGAGGUAACGGCUCACCAAGGCGACGAUGGGUAGCCGGCCUGAGAGGGUGGACGGCCACACUGGGACUGAGACACGGCCCAGACUCCUACGGGAGGCAGCAGUAGGGAAUAUUGCGCAAUGGACGGAAGUCUGACGCAGCGACGCCGCGUGAGCGGUGAAGGUCUUCGGAUCGUAAAGCUCUGUCCUUGGGGAAGAAGGCGAAAGCUUGACGGUACCCAAGAAGAAAGCCCCGGCUAACUACGUGCCAGCAGCCGCGGUAAUACGUAGGGGGCGAGCGUUGUCCGGAAUUACUGGGCGUAAAG
Molecule: ribosomal RNA, 453 nt
Filed under: uncultured bacterium
Lineage: Bacteria
Description: bacterial SSU rRNA
Rfam family: Bacterial small subunit ribosomal RNA
Source: RNAcentral